RNAcentral lists this long non-coding RNA (226 nucleotides) under Homo sapiens (human). Its description in RNAcentral is "HSALNT0400662". The record is from RNAcentral. Lineage: Eukaryota; Metazoa; Chordata; Mammalia; Primates; Hominidae.
CCAGGUAUUGUAAAUAUCCUUCUUAAGCAAAAUAUUGAUGUCUUCGCUAAAGACAUAUGUGGACGAGAUGCAGAAGAUUACGCUAUUUCUCAUCAUUUGACAAAAUGUUGGAAUUUCUGAUGAAUCUGCAGUCAGCAUUUUGCAUGAACUGUGUGUGGAUUUAUUGCCUGCAUUGGAUGAUGAAGACUUGAGUGUUGCUACUAAGCAGUGUGUCCCCGAGAAAGUG